GUUAUUUAGAAGUAUAUAGUGGAAAGUACUGGCUUGUGCCUUUUAGUGACAGGAAGGAAAACAGUAUAGUAAGGCAUUUAACGCAGGGUAAUGAUCCAAUAAGUUGAAGGAAAUCCUGCCCAAAGGAGGAAUAAUGAAGUGGAUGGCAUGAAGAUGAAGGCCAGGGGGUGCUGGAGUCCAGGAUCUCUUUAAAGCAGUUCAUGUGCUCUGAGAUUUUUCCUCCACUUGUACAAAGAGGAUAUCUACGACUUUCUUAAUUCAGGAAAGCAAAGAAACAUGCCUCACUCCUCCCACUGGCUGGAAACAAACGUAGAAUGCCAUAUCUCUUCAGAAUGCUCUCAAUAGGCUAAGCUCAUGAAAGUCAUUUUACUGUUUCUUCAGAGUGCUCUCAACAACUGAGUCAUCAGUGAGGAAAAGGAUGGAGGGAAUAGAGGAAAGAAAACUGCAAAAAUAUGACAGAACUGAUCAUAAAAGAGGUGGUUUUUGAAAUAGAUUUGAAAGAUAAUCAUUGUCAUUAUAUACGCUGAAGGACAGAAGCUGAGUUCAUGAAAAAAUGUAUGAAGCCAUGAGUAAAUAGCAGUGUUAAAGCAAGAGGUAUGGAUGAGAGCUAGGAUUUGAGAAGAAUCAUACUCUGGAAAGUCAGAAGGCAUAAUCUGUGGAAUGUAAUCUCUUGUUUCCAAAUACUCAGUCACACCUUGCUCCUCCUAGCCUUAUCUCCUGGUCAGUUAGCUCUAGCAGGGACAUAAGUCACUGGAAAACAUGUAGAAGAGGUUCAUGUAGGAGUCUCAGUGAUUAAGAUUAUUUUCAGAGCAGCAUGUUGUAUUGCCUGGUAUAGAGCAAGACAAAAGCAAAUGCUAAAAUGACACUAGUUAAAAUAAAGACAGUAAGAGUUCAGAAGGCUCUUAUUGU
RNAcentral lists this long non-coding RNA (909 nucleotides) under Numida meleagris (helmeted guineafowl). Its description in RNAcentral is "lncRNA (ENSNMEG00000016433.1)". Lineage: Eukaryota; Metazoa; Chordata; Aves; Galliformes; Numididae. The record is from RNAcentral.